GCAAGUCGAACGCGAAAGUUUUCUUCGGAAAGCGAGUAGAGUGGCGACGGGUGAGUAACGCGUAAGUAAUCUACCCUGGCAUCUGGGAUAACCCACCGAAGGUGUGCUAAUACCGGAUACGCUGAUUGAUCAGGAAAGGUGGCCUCUAUUAUAAGCUACUGUGCUGGGAGGAGCUUGCGUACCAUUAGCUAGUUGGUAGGGUAAUGGCCUACCAAGGCAACGAUGGUUAGCGGGUCUGAGAGGAUGAUC
This 249-nucleotide ribosomal RNA is filed under the name uncultured bacterium. Its description in RNAcentral is "partial 16S ribosomal RNA". It matches the Rfam family "Bacterial small subunit ribosomal RNA", at positions 57 to 305 of the family's 1533-position model. The record is from RNAcentral.